GAGGUGGAAGCGUAGCGAUACGUGGAGCUGACGAAUACUAAUCGAUCGAAGACUUAAUCAAAUU
Molecule: ribosomal RNA, 64 nt
Filed under: Staphylococcus coagulans
Lineage: Bacteria; Bacillati; Bacillota; Bacilli; Caryophanales; Staphylococcaceae
Description: partial 23S ribosomal RNA
Source: RNAcentral